This 564-nucleotide ribosomal RNA is filed under the name uncultured beta proteobacterium. RNAcentral describes it as "partial 16S ribosomal RNA". It matches the Rfam family "Bacterial small subunit ribosomal RNA", at positions 346 to 903 of the family's 1533-position model. Lineage: Bacteria; Pseudomonadati; Pseudomonadota; Betaproteobacteria. The record is from RNAcentral.
AGGCAGCAGUGGGGAAUUUUGGACAAUGGGCGCAAGCCUGAUCCAGCCAUGCCGCGUGMGGGAAGAAGGCCUUCGGGUUGUAAACCGCUUUUGUCAGGGAAGAAAYSKUCUGGGYUAAUACCUSGGGAKAAUGACGGUACCUGAASAAUAAGCACCGGCUAACUACGUGCCAGCAGCCGCGGUAAUACGUAKGGUGCAAGCGUUAAUCGGAAUUACUGGGCGUAAAGCGUGCGCAGGCGGUCUUGYAAGACAGAUGUGAAAUCCCCGGGCUCAACCUGGGAACUGCAUUUGUGACUGCAAGGCUWGAGUACGGCAGAGGGGGAUGGAAUUCCGCGUGUAGCAGUGAAAUGCGUARAUAUGCGGAGGAACACCGAUGGCGAAGGCAAUCCCCUGGACCUGUACUGACGCUCAUGCACGAAAGCGUGGGGAGCAAACASGAUUAGAUACCCUGGUAGUCCACGCCCUAAACGAUGUCAACUGGUUGUUGGGAAGSUUSCUKCUCAGUAACGUAGCUAACGCGUGAAGUUGACCGCCUGGGGAGUACGGCCGCAAGGUUGAAACUCA